AUUAUUGUAGUUUAAAUAAAAUAUUAAAUUGCAAAUUUAAAGAUUAAUUAUAAUUUUACAAUAAUU
Molecule: non-coding RNA, 66 nt
Organism: Apis florea (little honeybee)
Lineage: Eukaryota; Metazoa; Arthropoda; Insecta; Hymenoptera; Apidae
Source: the annotation of a RefSeq genome assembly